AUCGAUCUACGCCCCUGUUCGAUCCCGUGCUCCUCAGGGACACCGUACGCGGGCAAGACUCCGCGAGGAACGCCGCACCCUUUCUCCCGAUUCUUUCGCUCGCCGCAUGCAGCUGCAGGGCGAAACCCGAUCUCGCGAGGCGCUCGAGCCGCCGCCGUCUUCGCCGGUCGUUUUCGCUGCCGUAAGGACACCACCGUCCACACCGUUCACUCCCCUCGACCCUCCGCUCAACGCCGCACCUUGCUGACAUAUUUUUGUCGCCGAAAUCGCAGCGGGGCGAGCCGUCGGAGCAGCGGCUGUUCACGUCGUCACCGUCACCCGCAGAGCACGCCCCGUCGUCGUUUGACCUCACCACCGCGUCCACAACUCGAAGCCACCUCCGCCCGUCACCUCACUUUCGCCGGAGACUCGCCGGAGAGCCACCGCCGCCGACGCUCGAAGCCACCGCCAUUUUUCCUCUGUUUCGGUGAGCACACGCGCGCACAGCACCACCUGAGCCAACCGCGCUGCCACAUGGCAACCAGCUACAGUACAUGCACGAACAGUGCACGAGUUUUCUGUUGUUUUAGUUUUUCUUUCCAGAUUUGUUCUCUAACUUCUUUUAGCUAUAUCUUUUAGUCUAUAUACUCUUUUUAGGUGAUUCUUUUUCCUAUGAUCUCACAAAAAUCAGCACAUUAUCACAGCACCAACUUUGCACAUGUCUGCACCUUUCAAAUUUGGAUUCGUUCAGAUUUGAAUCAAAUCUUCCGGAGGCCGUAACUUCCCAACCGUUUAAUGAAAUUUAGUUUUUCUUUUUGCAUUGUGACCGUAGUGCAUUUUAGGUGCUGUUAAGCUUCUGUUGUUGAGUUUUAAAAUGGAUUUCUUGCUGUUGGUUUUGUUUUGGUUCUAUUCGUGUUCCGGUGAUUGAUUUGUUGAAUUGUUUGAAACGUGUAGAUUGUCCGGAGUGCGACGCGAGCUAUUGUCAGGAGUGUGACUUUCUGAACCAGAACCAAGGCAAGUUAAAUGUUGAUUAUCCUUUACCUAUUGUUUUCUAUGCAUGUAGUUAUAUCACACUAUGAAUAUAUGCAUGUAUAGGAGUAUUAUAUAUGUUGGCUAUGCUGUUGAGCUAUCUUCCCGUCUUUUGCAAAUCGUGUAGUUGUAGUUUGCUAUGCUUUGUAGACGGGGGUGGUUCGUGUAUCAUUGAGUUUAUGUGAGGAUUAUAUAUGUAUAUAUAACAAUUGAGUAGUAACUCAGGAUUUAACUCACCUCUGGGCGGAAGUGGUAUUGCUUGGUGUUGAGGGAAGGCAUCAUGGGGUCUUGCACCUUUUCUAAGGCCAUGCGCUCAUGAGAGUGCACCCUAAGUGGAAUGCCGCCCAGGUACAAAAAGAUCAGACAGACCUAGUAACGAGUAGCUUCCAUGUGCGGCCACUGGCUAUAUGGGCUCUGGCUUAGUUGAUCAGUUGUUGGAACCCUUGCCCAGACUUGUCGACAGAUGUAGCAUAUGUAGGUGGGAUGUAGCCGUCAGGUGGUUAAGGGAACCUCUUCUGCAAAGACUUCGUCUCAAUCUUCGGAUUGGGUCCAGUGGGUAAAGCAUACAAAACUCUGUAGAGUAUUAAAACUAAUCAUGAUUAGCCGUGCCCCCAGUUAUGGGCAAAUCUGAGCCACUAUGCCAUUACAGUUGUUGGAUGAUCGUGACAGAUGUGACACUUAAUAAUAUUUGUGGGAAACUUAAUAAUGGGUAGGUUGGAGUUGAUUUUGCCAACUCAACCUUGUUCAUUUAAUUGUAGUAAUAAAAGAACUAAAUAAAAUUUGACUAUUAGGUAGUUAUGAGGACAAAAUCAGCUUUCCGCAAAAUAAACCCUAAAGCCUUCCUUUUGUUAUACUAUGCAUAUACAUGUAGGUCUGCUAUAUUAUUACUCCUGUGUAACUUGCCAAUACAUUCAAAUUAUUGACCUAUAUGGCUGCAACAUCUCAUGUUGCAGGAUAUUCAGACGAAGAGUAAGGUACCGUUAGGGUCGCGAGUCUGCACUCAGCAUCGCCAGUGGGCUAUGAUGGGACUCAUCGUUAUUUUCUGCUACUUUCCACUAUUUGAUUGAAUAAAGCUAGCCAAGUGCUAUGCAGAUUGUUUUAUUUUAUAAACACUAGAUCAUACGUUGUAAUAAAUGGUGCACAUGCUAUUGUGGUAUUCAUCUAUAUUGUGUGUGCUAGCGAGUUCGAUCCAGGGACUAGCACAGUAAGCACAGAGACUCAAAUCCUUCGAGGUUUGGUCGUUACACACAGCAUAGUCCUAAGCAUGUGAUUUAUACACUGCAUAUACUGGUAUUUUGAUAUAUGUUUUCAUCGAUAAUUUUUUUGCUUCAU
Molecule: long non-coding RNA, 2340 nt
Filed under: Triticum aestivum (bread wheat)
Lineage: Eukaryota; Viridiplantae; Streptophyta; Magnoliopsida; Poales; Poaceae
Description: long non-coding RNA (TAES_LNC010548)
Source: RNAcentral